UACGGGAGGCAGCAGUGGGGAAUCUUGCGCAAUGGGCGAAAGCCUGACGCAGCCAUGCCGCGUGAAUGAUGAAGGUCUUAGGAUUGUAAAAUUCUUUCACCGGGGACGAUAAUGACGGUACCCGGAGAAGAAGCCCCGGCUAACUUCGUGCCAGCAGCCGCGGUAAUACGAAGGGGGCUAGCGUUGCUCGGAAUUACUGGGCGUAAAGGGAGCGUAGGCGGACAUUUAAGUCAGGGGUGAAAUCCCGGGGCUCAACCUCGGAAUUGCCUUUUGAUACUGGGUGUCUUGAGUAUGAGAGAGGUGUGUGGAACUCCGAGUGUAGAGGUGAAAUUCGUAGAUAUUCGGAAGAACACCAGUGGCGAAGGCGACACACUGGCUCAUUACUGACGCUGAGGCUCGAAAGCGUGGGGAGCAAACAGGGAUUUAGAUACC
Molecule: ribosomal RNA, 432 nt
Filed under: uncultured bacterium
Lineage: Bacteria
Description: bacterial SSU rRNA
Rfam family: Bacterial small subunit ribosomal RNA
Source: RNAcentral